AAACGUUAAACUCUGUGAGUUGAACGUACACAUCACAAAGUAGUUUCUGAGAAUGUUUCUCUCUGGUUUUUAUAAGAAGAUAUUUCCUUUUCUACCAUAGGCCUCAAAGAGGUCAAAAUAUCCACUUGCAGAUAUAACAAAUAGAGUGUUUCAAAUCUGUUCUAUCACAAGAAUGUUGAUCUCUGUGAGUUGAAUGCAAACAUCACAAAGCAGUUUCUGAGAAUGCUUCUGUCUAGUUUCUAUGUGAAGAUAUUUCCUUUUCUACCAUAAGCUAAAAAGCCCUCAAAAUACACACUUGUAAAUUCUACAAAAUAGUGUUUCAAAUCUGCACUAUCAAAAGAAAGGUUAAACUCUGUGAGUU
This 361-nucleotide long non-coding RNA is filed under the name Homo sapiens (human). Its description in RNAcentral is "non-protein coding lnc-SYT10-5:1". The record is from RNAcentral. Lineage: Eukaryota; Metazoa; Chordata; Mammalia; Primates; Hominidae.